AUGAGAUUGCACUGCUGCUUGCAGUGAGGCUGCUGAAAUUUGAUUGACACAUAAAUAAAGAUCUCAAUGAGCCCUUGUAAUGGAUAUUGACGACAGUUGGUCCAUUGUAGGAGUAGGAUAUGCGUCAAGAUGGAAUCUAUUGAUCUUGAUAGAAAAAGAGUUGUCUUAUGAAAUUUGAGAGGCUAAGUUUGAGAAUUUGUGGUCACAGUAGUGUGAUUGAUGGAAAAAAAUUUUCAUAAAAAUCACAACUGAACUUGAGCUAAUCGAAUCUAUCAUAUGGCUAAUGAUUAAGAUUUGACGAUUUAUCUAUGACCUGCCAUCUAGUCGAGACUCACGAUAGAGGGACUGAAUCACAUGUUAACUAUACCUAGAGGUUCAUUUCAGUUCUACUGAGUUGCCACUACAUACUGCUUAGUGUCACUGAUGGUUUGUAAGAGCUCACUAGGAUUAUUCUGGAUCGACAAUCCUUGAUGAGUUAGAGUGAAAUUAUUCCGACCCAUUAAAAAAAGUUUCAAUGAUACUUUGAUGGAGAUCAUUGUAUAUCUCACUACCAGAUAGAAUUAAAUCUAUGGAGUCACACAACAAAGGGAUUAGAUCUGGAAUAAGCAAUUGAGCUUAUGAAGUGUCAGUUGAGUUUAGAGAAAUCCGAUUGGGUUCAAGGUAACCUUGCAGCACAUGGUUGAACCCAAUUUCUCUUUUCGUUUGAAUUUUUUAUUUGAUAAGAUAAUUUAAAUUUAAUUACCUAUUAAUAACCUAAAUGAAUAAAAUUCAUUAGACUCUAAUUAUUGGGUGUGUAAGGUUUUGGAUCAUAUGAAUUAAGGGUGAAGUCCCUUAUUAAUUUUCUUAAUAGUUAUUAUAGGGUGCCACCUUGAUUGGAUCAAGUUGGGCAUGUCCUAUGAUUAGAGGGCCUUUUAAUUUCAUGUGGGAUGUCUUUUGGGUGUAAAAGAGGGUGUGAAAUAAUGGAUGCAAGGGCUUUAAGAGUUGGCACCUAAUAGGAUUCCUAAUGUAAGUUGAAUAACUUAAGUUAUUAGGAAACCUAAUGCAAGUAGAAUUUUUAUUAUGAGAUUGAAUAGGAUUCAAUCCUCAUGCUUAUUUAAAGAAACCUUCUCUAAGAUCCCUAGAGCAUCCAACCAGUAGCCCACACCCACCUUUGGAGACCCCCC
Molecule: long non-coding RNA, 1163 nt
Filed under: Elaeis guineensis (African oil palm)
Lineage: Eukaryota; Viridiplantae; Streptophyta; Magnoliopsida; Arecales; Arecaceae
Description: long non-coding RNA (EGUI_LNC043706)
Source: RNAcentral